GAUGGACGCUGGCGGCGUGCCUAAUACAUGCAAGUCGAGCGAACAGACGAGGAGCUUGCUCCUCUGACGUUAGCGGCGGACGGGUGAGUAACACGUGGAUAACCUACCUAUAAGACUGGGAUAACUUCGGGAAACCGGAGCUAAUACCGGAUAAUAUAUUGAACCGCAUGGUUCAAUAGUGAAAGACGGUUUUGCUGUCACUUAUAGAUGGAUCCGCGCCGCAUUAGCUAGUUGGUAAGGUAACGGCUUACCAAGGCGACGAUGCGUAGCCGACCUGAGAGGGUGAUCGGCCACACUGGAACUGAGACACGGUCCAGACUCCUACGGGGGGCAGCAGUAGGGAAUCUUCCGCAAUGGGCGAAAGCCUGACGGAGCAACGCCGCGUGAGUGAUGAAGGUCUUCGGAUCGUAAAACUCUGUUAUUAGGGAAGAACAAAUGUGUAAGUAACUAUGCACGUCUUGACGGUACCUAAUCAGAAAGCCACGGCUAACUACGUG
This 497-nucleotide ribosomal RNA is filed under the name uncultured bacterium. RNAcentral's name for it is "partial 16S ribosomal RNA". It matches the Rfam family "Bacterial small subunit ribosomal RNA", at positions 28 to 507 of the family's 1533-position model. The record is from RNAcentral.